RNAcentral lists this non-coding RNA (224 nucleotides) under Roseovarius indicus. The record is from RNAcentral. Lineage: Bacteria; Pseudomonadati; Pseudomonadota; Alphaproteobacteria; Rhodobacterales; Roseobacteraceae.
CAUACCGGAGGGUGCAAGGGUCCCCAUAUGGGUGCAAAGCACUCGGGGAUAAAUCGGGAAUGACGUGACGGCGGACCCAAUUCGGGAGCCCAUGCGUCAGCCGCCCCCGCGACUGUAAGCGGUGAGCCCCCUGCCACAUGCCACCGGGCCGAACGGCCUUGGGAAGGCGGCAGGAUCGGCUAUGACCCGCGAGCCAGGAGACCAGCCUUUGCGUGAUGCAAUCC